This 253-nucleotide ribosomal RNA is filed under the name uncultured bacterium. Its description in RNAcentral is "partial 16S ribosomal RNA". It matches the Rfam family "Bacterial small subunit ribosomal RNA", at positions 524 to 776 of the family's 1533-position model. The record is from RNAcentral.
UACGUAGGGUGCGAGCGUUGUCCGGAAUUACUGGGCGUAAAGCGUGCGCAGGCGGUUUGUUAAGUCUGCUGUGAAAUCCCCGAGCUCAACUUGGGAAUUGCAGUGGAUACUGGCAAGCUGGAGUACGGUAGAGGAAGGUGGAAUUCCCGGUGUAGCAGUGAAAUGCGUAGAGAUCGGGAGGAACACCAGUGGCGAAGGCGGCCUUCUGGACCAGUACUGACGCUCAUGCACGAAAGCGUGGGGAGCAAACAGG